UCCCCACCUGCUCCUCACCAAUCCAAAUUCAGUAUUUCCACUGAGGCUUCACUCGCCCGGCCUCCCAGGUUUCCCACACUAUGUGAUCCUUUGAACCCCGGAGAAAUUACUUCUAUUCUGAUGUAUAUGCAGUGAGCUGUGUGAUGAGAAGAUUGUACCUACAGAUGGAAUAUAAAUAGAAGAGACUGGAUGAGACUUUCUCACUGGAAAAUGUAGGACGUUGGAUGAAACAGUCAUGAAGAUUGCUUCCAGCUUUCAAGUACUACUUUGGUGGUGUGAUACUUGCACAAUAAAUG
RNAcentral lists this long non-coding RNA (296 nucleotides) under Mustela putorius furo (domestic ferret). RNAcentral describes it as "lncRNA (ENSMPUG00000026221.1)". Lineage: Eukaryota; Metazoa; Chordata; Mammalia; Carnivora; Mustelidae. The record is from RNAcentral.